UGUCCAUGAUGCUUGUCCUUAUGAUGCUUAUCCAUGAUGCUAGUCCUUAUGAUGCUAGUCCAUGAUGCUAGUCCUUAUGAUGCUAGUCCUUUGGUUAGAACAGAGAAUAAACUGAUAUCAGUGAAUCAACAACAGAAGAUACAUGGAACUAAUGGUCAUUGAGACCGAGAGAAACGUCACGACUUUCCUUGGUUUAACGAACCACAACUUCUAAAAAGGAAAAGGUGUACCGGUCAGAAAUGGCUCCUUGAUUUGGAUUAGUGAAAUCAUUCACAAAUGUUUUUAAUGGAUGGACAAAAUGAAAAGUGGAAGAUUCAUUUUAAAUGCUUUUGUUUUGUUGAUAGUAGUAUCCUGUGCAUCAAAAUCCAUCUAAAAACUUGUAUUUGUCCUUGAAGCAGCAGAAGGUUUUUGAUCUUCUCUGGUAUCGUUGGCAUCUUUUCCAGUCUGCUCCCCCUCUCCUUCCUAGAAGGGCUAAAAGAAUGAGUCAGAUGUUAUUUUAGAACGACAUGUUCUUUCAGAGCCUCAACAUGUCAGGGCAUGUUAUGAAGCCUUAUAACCUCAGAUAAGUGUUAUGAAGCCUUAUAACCUCCGAUAAGUGUUAUUCAUCCUUUUAUAAACUUCUAAUUAGUACAAAUGGAACGACAAAGGCCAUUUUUAACACACAUUUGGAUUUAGCCUGAAUGUCUUAAAAAUAUUAAAGUCAUUAAAGUUUUACGAUUUAAAGUCAAGUUAUCCACUUGCUUCAACGAAUGGGAUGAUUAUAGAAUUUUGUAAAGUAAUGGACAUUGUGAUUAGAUUUACUUCAUGUGUCUCUGGCGGCUGGAAAUAAUUCCAUAAUACUAAAUGUUACAUGACGCCGUCUCAUCAGCCUCACGGCACGUCUCUCACCGGCUUCAUCGACUUUGCAAAUGAGCAGGAUAGGCUAACGUUGAAGAGUUAUAAAUAGCCACGUAACCAUUCAGUUUCAGUUUACACUGAACGGGGAAGCCGUGUCUCAAAUUGUAUCCUAUUCCCUUCCUAUUAGGGUACUACCUCCCCAUGGGGCUCUUGUCAAAGGUAGUGCACUAUAUAGGGAGUAGGGUGGCAUUUGGGACUGAAGUUCUGUGCCACCACAGAUAUGUGCUUGUUAUUUUGGCUCAUGUGUUUUUUGUUGGCCUCUGGCGGUUGGGUGUGUACACACUACACUGAGCCACAAUGGCAGGCCUGUGAACCUAGAGAGGCUGAGCAGACAGUAGAACACUGAGGCCACUCUCUGAGACCAGAGAACUGCCUGUACCUUGUAGCACAGUACCCCACCUAGAUUCGUCUCGUCCACACCAACUCCCAUCGCAGGUUCGUAUUCACUAGACGCCAAACAUAAGAAAACAGACUGAAACAGGGAAGGAAUAACUGAACUUGUCCAGUAAGAAACGCUUAGUUUUGGAUUAUCUGUUGCAAAACGUUUUGCUACAGUGUGCACUAAUGAAUAACGACCCAACUCUUAUUCAAGCCCUGUAUGAUAUCAUGGACUAACUUGUAAAGGGCAAGCCUAUGUGUAACUCUGUGUUGUUGUAUUGGGUCGAAUUGCUAUGCUUUAUCUUGGCCAGGUCGCAGUUGUAAAUGAGACCUUGUUCUCAACUAGCCUACCUGGUUAAAUAAAGGUGAAAUAAAUAAACAUCUGUAUGUACUGUACUCGUUUCUCAGGAUUGUCCCAGCAGCAAUCAGAAUGUUCAACAAAGAAUGUGAUUUAGUCCUUUUUCCAUGAAACCAUCUGUAAUUAGAAAGUAUUUGAGAUGUGCAUUAUUCACUUCAGCAACCUUUGACAUAAAUAGGUUGUGAGCAGCACUAUCCUCCCUCCC
Long non-coding RNA from Oncorhynchus tshawytscha (Chinook salmon), 1838 nucleotides. The record is from Ensembl. Lineage: Eukaryota; Metazoa; Chordata; Actinopteri; Salmoniformes; Salmonidae.